Molecule: long non-coding RNA, 206 nt
Filed under: Homo sapiens (human)
Lineage: Eukaryota; Metazoa; Chordata; Mammalia; Primates; Hominidae
Description: HSALNT0241869
Source: RNAcentral
UCACAGCCAGAUCCACCUGCUUUUCACCCUACCCUCGGUGGGGUCAUGGUAUUUAUUUCCUAUAAAUCGGGACCUUGCUGAACAUAAUUCUGCAGACAAGGAGGUGGAUGGGACAGCCAAUGUGAACAAGGAGAUAGAUGGUGGGUGGAGCAGGAUUGUCGUCGCUGUUUUUUUCCUCCUUAAUCCUCAUCCACAAAAAGAAGACA